GACGAACGCUGGCGGCGUGCUUAACACAUGCAAGUCGAACGGAAGGGCGAUGAUUUUGUGGGGUGCUCGAUUGGCGAACGGGUGAGUAACACGCGAGUAACCUGCCCUUGACUUUGGGGUAACAUCAGGAAACAGGGGCUAAUACAGGAGAGGAGCUCCUGCUGCAUGGUGGGGGUUGGAAAGUUUCGGCGGUGGGGGAUGGACUCGCGGGUUAUCAGCUUGAUGGUGGGGUAGGGGCUUACCAAGGCUUUGACGGGUAGGCGGCCUGAGAGGGUGACCGGCCACAUUGGGACUGAGAGACGGCCCAGACUCCUACGGGAGGCAGCAGUGGGGAAUAUUGCACAGUGGGCGGAAGCCUGAGGCAGCAACGCCGCGUGCGUGAUGACGGCUUUCGGGUUGUAAACCGCUUUCGACUGUGACGAAGCGUGAGUGACGGUAAUGGGUAAAGAAGCACCGGCUAACUACGUG
This 468-nucleotide ribosomal RNA is filed under the name uncultured bacterium. RNAcentral's name for it is "partial 16S ribosomal RNA". It matches the Rfam family "Bacterial small subunit ribosomal RNA", at positions 28 to 507 of the family's 1533-position model. The record is from RNAcentral.